GUGUUCCCUUCUGCAGCACAUAUACUAAAAGUGGAGUGAUAGAGAAGAUUAGCAUGGCCCCUGUGUAAAGAUGAUGUAAUGAAUAUGUAAAGAGCUCAAUGUGGAC
Molecule: small nuclear RNA, 106 nt
Organism: Vulpes vulpes (red fox)
Lineage: Eukaryota; Metazoa; Chordata; Mammalia; Carnivora; Canidae
Source: Ensembl